CUGCCUGGCCGGUAGGGAAUUCCUUCUCUCUUUACUCUUGGUCCCACGCGCUGGUGGAGGCCUCCAGCAACCCCGCUGAGGUCUCAGUCUUCAGUGUGGCGCCCUAUGGGAGCCAAAGCAGAGGGGCUCUCAAUCUUGAGGCCAGGGGAACCGGCACUCCCACUCUGUCCACGAGAAGAGCCGAGGGGAGAUGCUGCCUAUCGCCCCACGCCUGCCUUCCUUCCCCUCCAGCCCGCAUUUCCACUCUUCAUUCCUCUCCUCCUCCGCACCACACCGCCCCGUCCCUGCUUCUUUCUCUUUUCCUUUCCUCCUCCCUCCCUUUGGCCUGGACAGUGCUGGACCAGGCCCGAGAGCAGGUGGAAUCUGCGCCGCGUCUCUCCGCUGUCGCGCCGAAGCGGCUCAGGAAAUGCGCCCUCCGCUGGCGCCGGGUCGCGGUUCUCGCCGCGUUAGUUUUUUUCUCACAGUUGUGGCCCGGUACGCCGCCUCGGGCGCUGGAGAUGCUCAGGCCUGCUCUUUCUGAAGCAGAGAGGGAGGAGGUUCUCAGCUUCAAGACCCGGGAGAGGGCUGGAGCCUCCUUUUGCCGGUACAUUAGCCCCUGGCCACCCGCCAGGCCGCCGCACACUGGACGCCUUCUUCGCUCAAAGGCUCGGGUAGUUGGAGCGGCCUCGAUGGGGCCCUGGCCUCACCUCUCCGCUGCCCCUCCCGGGCCUUCCCAGGGGCCAGCUGACCUCCCCCGAAUGUUACGUCGAGGACCCUGCUGGAUUUGGAGCGGGGAUACAGGGCUGCCAGUCCCUUGCCAAGCCAUCAUCUCGGGGCUCUCAGUCUUUCUUAGCUGAUGUUCCCCCAGCCUUCUCCCUGGGUUACGUCUCUCCCCACCAUUCUGUCUCUAUCUCUGGCGGGGCUGCCUCAGUCUCUCUGUGUCUCUCAGUCUCUGUCUCUCUUGUUUGUUUCAAUGCGCGGACACUGAUUGCGCCUUAUGAAGUUCUAACUGGUUUUGUGUCAGGAAGAUCUUUCUCGCUGCUACCCAGCCUGGCGUGACGGAUUAAACAUCAACUAGUUAAAUAAAAAUUAAUAUCAACUGCCUCCUAA
Marmota monax (woodchuck) is the source of this 1089-nucleotide long non-coding RNA. RefSeq lists it as uncharacterized. The record is from RefSeq and is a predicted model, not a curated record. The transcript has 2 exons. Lineage: Eukaryota; Metazoa; Chordata; Mammalia; Rodentia; Sciuridae.